GGUUUGUGGCUCUGUGGUAGAGCACUUGCCUAGAACAUGUGAGGCCCUGGGUUUGAUCCUCAGCACCA
RNAcentral lists this transfer RNA (68 nucleotides) under Marmota monax (woodchuck). RNAcentral describes it as "tRNA.Ser". The record is from RNAcentral. Lineage: Eukaryota; Metazoa; Chordata; Mammalia; Rodentia; Sciuridae.